GUUAGUCUUAGAAGCUCUCCAAGUCUGGUGAGGUCCUGUACAAAGACCAGUUAAUAUUUUAUGAUUUUUCAUAUACCCGCUCCUCUCUCUCUCUCCCUCGGUUUCUCGUUUUUUCCCCAAAAUUAGACUAGGUUUCUUUCUCCUUCUUUUUCACUCGUCCCCCUUCUUCAGCCCGCAACCCUUAAUUUCUCCACCGAUCGCCUUCUCCAGGGGACCCGUCGUCUCCGACCUCUCAAAAGCCGAUUGAAUCACAUUUUCUUUUGCCCAGCCAAGUCAAGAUAAUUGCUCAGCAUCGGCUUCCUCCAUGAUCCUAGCCGAAGGUUCUUCUUCCUUCACGAUCUACCACUACCGGUAGCAUCUGUUUGGGUAAAUGCCUUGUCUUUUCUUUUUCUUUUUUUAGGAUGAAAUGGUACACGGGAUUUUGUCUAGUAAAUUUUCCAUAGUAUUUUUUUGGGCAUCUAUUGAUAUUAAAGAUGAUUAUUUGUUUUGGCAUAUUGUUCUUGGGUAUGGUUUAUAAUGGCAGCAAUCACGUACUGCUAUUGCUAGCAUUUGCUAAUGUGAUGUUCUUUCUCUAUUGCCUUGGGACAUUGCUAGUGCAAGUCUGAAAGUAACAAUGAUAUUUAGGGGAAACUUGGUUAGUGUAUUGUCUUAGUUUCUCUGUAAUUGUAUGGUCUCUACAAACAUUGCUAUUGUUUGUCUAUUAUUUUUUCUUCAUGGUGUUCUAGAUAGUCUACUAUUGUUUUGGCAUAUUGUUUGUCUAUUGGGAAACUGGACAUUUUUUUUUGGUAAACCUGAUAACUGAUUCAAUAUUUAUUUUGGAAUAUUGUUUGUCUCAGUUGUAGCUAGUGUGCUAACUUAAGUGAUUUUCCAAAUGAAUACAGUAGCUCUUUCUUUAUCAGGAUCUGCCCAAUUCAACAUUUGAAACUUUUGGUAAUUUCCUUUCUUUUUUUUACUUUCAACUUCAUAUUUUUUAAUAAUAUUGAAAGGUAUAGAGGAAUUGAAGGCUAGGAAUGCAUCAAUAUCUUACUUAAAAUACAUACUAGAAGAAGGGAAUUAAUACAUUUAGUAUUAACCAUUAACUACAAUACUAAGUUUUGGGGCGAUAUUAUGAGCUUGAAGAACAUUCAUUCCAAACCAUUGACAGAUCUUAGGGUAAAAUGUUGUCGAUGAUUUAGUUUUGGUUAUUAUCAUACUUUUGGUUCCUUUCUGAUUUGCUAUUUAGUUUUCCUUGUUGAACCAUUUUUCAUAGAUAGCGAAAUACAUUUAUUAAUCAUGAUGAAAAGGUCAUAAGGGCUGAGAAUUAUGUGUGAUAUGAAAUUAUCAACAUGUGGAGGAUAAAUUGGUGCCGGCAUUCUCACAUGUUUUUUGCUUUCAUAAUCUGUAUUCCCAAAUCUCCUUUCAACUUAUUGUAGAAUGCCCCUUACUUGUGUAGAAAAGAUGGCAUUAUUCUUCACUGCCCACAUGUAAGUUAAAGGACUUUCUUUGGUCAUUUCUUUCCUUCAGUUCGCAUGUGUUUGUUGAUUUGUGCAAAAUGUAUAUAUAAUUUCCUAUGUUCUGGGGUUUAUGGGAUAUUUGGAGUAGUGUAUUACUGGGGUUCACAACAGACUGCCAUAACGCCUCAUGUUUUUGGAGCUAAUGAGUGUUCUCUUCUUUUUUGUUUCUUUUCUUUUUCUUUUAGAGAGAUUCUUGAGGUUGGAGAUCUGGUGUGCAUGUUGUUUGCCCUAUACACAGAAAAUCCAUUAUGACGAUAUGUUUCUUUUAUGCAUGGCUUGAGUCUGUAACUCUAUAUGACUGAUCAUGGAGUAAAGAGAUGAGUUGGCUGAAAUAUUUAAUUUGAAACCAGAUUGUGCUUAAUUUGUUCGUGUAGAAAAGAUCUGGAUGCUAUUCUCUCUUCCCUACAUCUGAUACCCUAAUCAAGUUUAGCUCCUCUUUUACUUUUCAGUUAUAUUCCUUUGUAUCCUAGCAGCUUUCUUGGUAGGAUUCAGCAAUAUGAUUGAACAGAUUAGAGCAGCAAAGCCAGCAGCUUUUUUGAGUAUGAACUCUUUGAAGAAGACCCCAACCACCUUAGAACUAUCAAAGCCACACCAACUCAGAUUGGUUCAUGGAUUGAUCCUUCCUCUCUAAAACUUUAGCAUAUUGGCCGGGGCCCCUUUGGUGAUGUUUUCUUAGCAACUCCGCAGAUUGUGUUGGAAAUUUGUAGAUUGUGUUUCUGUUGUGUGUUGCUCAAUAUUGUGUUAGCAAUGUGAUAAUGUAUAUAAUUGCAAAUCUGGACUGCUUUGCUUCAGGAAGUGUAUUUGUCGUGUAUUUAUAUUUGCUUCAAAAAGUGUAUUUGUUGUGUAUUUAUAUUUGCUUCAGGAAGCAUAUUUGUAUAUAUAAUUGAUAAAAUAUAUACUUCUUUGCUUGAGAAA
Long non-coding RNA from Carya illinoinensis, 2408 nucleotides. RefSeq lists it as uncharacterized. The record is from RefSeq and is a predicted model, not a curated record. NCBI's taxonomy places the organism in Eukaryota, Viridiplantae, Streptophyta, Magnoliopsida, Fagales, Juglandaceae. The transcript is spliced from 2 exons.